RNAcentral lists this ribosomal RNA (351 nucleotides) under uncultured bacterium. RNAcentral describes it as "partial 16S ribosomal RNA". It matches the Rfam family "Bacterial small subunit ribosomal RNA", at positions 338 to 706 of the family's 1533-position model. The record is from RNAcentral.
CCUACGGGAGGCAGCAGUGGGGAAUAUUGCACAAUGGGGGAAACCCUGAUGCAGCGACGCCGCGUGAGUGAAGAAGUAAUUCGUUAUGUAAAGCUCUAUCAGCAGGGAAGAAAAUGACGGUACCUGAGUAAGAAGCCCCGGCUAACUACGUGCCAGCAGCCGCGGUAAUACGUAGGGGGCAAGCGUUAUCCGGAUUUACUGGGUGUAAAGGGGGCGUAGACGGCAGGGCAAGUCUGGAGUGAAAGGCGGGGGCUCAACCCCCGGACUGCUGUGGACACUGUACGGCGGGAGUGCAGGAGAGGAAUGGGGAAUUCGUGGUGUAGGGGGGAAAUGGGGAGAUAUAGGGAGGAA